This is a long non-coding RNA of Acinonyx jubatus (cheetah), 1128 nucleotides long. RefSeq lists it as uncharacterized. The transcript is spliced from 3 exons. The record is from RefSeq and is a predicted model, not a curated record. Lineage: Eukaryota; Metazoa; Chordata; Mammalia; Carnivora; Felidae.
UCAGGGUGGAUGAGGGCUUCGGGUCAAAUUUGCCUCGUUUUGGAGCAGGAGGCGCACAGAGGUCAGGAGCGUGUCCUCUGACGGCCGAUCGUCUGGUAUCAGUUACCAUUCUCCCACCUGUUACCUGUGUAAACCUGGCCCCUCUAAGCCUUGGUUUCCUCAUUCAUAAAGAUGUGUGGCCUCCCCAUGCAGUGUGGCUACGACCCUGGCAACUAUUUUGUGGACGUGUUUUUGUGGGCAGUGUCUACAACGCAAGAGGGAUGGGAGAUGAGCAGGGAGGCCAGACCAAGGUGUCUCGGGAUCCUAAAAGACCUGGCUGUCGAGCAAAGCAGGUUGGCUGCACCAUGUCCGGGAGGAAGGGGACUCAUGACUCCAUGACCCUACAGUCACAGAAUUCCAAAUAGGAGACUAUCUGGGCGUAGCCAUCACCCCUCCACAUGGGGCGCCGCCUCCUUCAGGGUGCAUGAGGCCAUAUUAAAUUUUAUUUACUCUUUCUUGAAUCGUUUUGCGUUCAGUUAUGUAAAAUAAACUUUUCCCUCCCCUCAUCAUUGCCAUUAAGCCUCUAGACUCUGAACAAAUCGCAACGCGUCUGUUUAGGAAUUCGAUUUGGCUGUGUUGGAUAUUAAUAGAAAGUCCACGUAUUUUUGGUCCUUCCAUAAAAUAUGAAGAAAAGUGCUCUUAGCAUCCUAUAUAAAACUGUGUUGUUACAUAUAUGUGUGCAAUCGAAAAAAAAUCAUAAGGAAGAGAAAAUACAUUUAUAGUGUGUACCGUGUCUAUUGAAAAAAACCCACAUGUAAGUGGACCCAAGCAGUUCAAGCCACGUUGUUUAAACGUCAACUGUAUUAACUUUAUUCUUUGAUGACAAAGCUUAGACUUCAAGGCCAAGGAAUUAUUACCAAAUGUUUACUCAAAGGUGUAUUAUUUAUAGUAUUUCUGACUGCUCUCAUAAAAGGCUCUGAAGACGGGAAAGCAAAAAGAUGAGUUCACUCACCUACAUGUGCACACGCGUGCACACACAGCCAGACACACAUUCACAUGCCCUCCUGCAUAGAUAUUAGAACAAACAGUUUACUUGGCUGUUUUUAACAAUGAUUUACCGUAAAAGAAAUAAGCUGUUGUAGACUUCUC